Long non-coding RNA from Zingiber officinale, 900 nucleotides. RefSeq lists it as uncharacterized. The transcript has 2 exons. The record is from RefSeq and is a predicted model, not a curated record. Lineage: Eukaryota; Viridiplantae; Streptophyta; Magnoliopsida; Zingiberales; Zingiberaceae.
GGCCGGAUUGGUACAAGGCAGUCUGGGAGAUUCAUACUGAAAUUGGGAAACAGAAACAGAAUCCAGUGGAAAGGAUGCAGCAGAAUGACCUCAAGCGUUCGUCAAAGGAAAAAGGGAAGAUCAGCUGAUCACGAUCGCAAGACGCUGGUGAAAUCGAGAGAAGGCAAUGAUGCGCGUGAAGAACAGAGAAACCAAUAGCGAUUGAGGCAACCGUCGAGUGCAAGAAGAAGUAGCAAUGGGAUAGAACUACUUCGGCGGCGCUGGAUCAACAUUUCUUGCACUCAUGUGGCCGGAGGUGGAAGAGGAUCGGCUGCCGGCGAUGGAUCGGCUCUCCCCCGGUCAUCUGGUACCCUUCCCAGCCUUGCUAUCCUAUGGCCGACUAUGCGAUGGCAACGGAAAUCUGGAGCUAGGGCACGACCGAAUAGGGGCUUGGGUGCUCGCUGAGAUUAGCAGAUACGGAGACUCAGCCGAUGGUGGUCGAACGACGACGACGUCAGGGAGGCGACGAUCGGGAUCUGAGGAGAGGGCGGUGACAAAUCGUGAAGAAGAGAGGGAUCGAGAGAAAUCGCGGAGGAGAUGAUCGAGGAAGAGGAAGGCUUCAGCGUGGCAAAGUUUAGGGCACGGGUAAGGAAGAGGAAGAAAGAAAAAUAAAAGGAGGCAGGACCGAUGGGACAAGAGGCUUUGACAAUCAAGCAAGCUCAGAAUGACGACAGCACAACCCAUGGACCCCCCUAGUUUAUGUUUCCACUUUUAAUUGAAAUGAUGUAAUAAAAGAUUUAGUCCAAGAAAUUUUCUUUAAGAACUAUUAGUUGUUUAUAACUUGGUCGGUCUUGUUGGGAUAUUAAUGUAUAUUUUAUUAUUAGAAAAUAAAUAAAAAAGUGAUAUAUACUAAAGAGGAAA